AUUGAACGCUGGCGGCAUGCCUUACACAUGCAAGUCGAACGGCAGCACGGGUGCUUGCACCUGGUGGCGAGUGGCGAACGGGUGAGUAAUACAUCGGAACAUGUCCUGUAGUGGGGGAUAGCCCGGCGAAAGCCGGAUUAAUACCGCAUACGAUCCACGGAUGAAAGCGGGGGACCUUCGGGCCUCGCGCUAUAGGGUUGGCCGAUGGCUGAUUAGCUAGUUGGUGGGGUAAAGGCCUACCAAGGCGACGAUCAGUAGCUGGUCUGAGAGGACGACCAGCCACACUGGGACUGAGACACGGCCCAGACUCCUACGGGAGGCAGCAGUGGGGAAUUUUGGACAAUGGGCGAAAGCCUGAUCCAGCAAUGCCGCGUGUGUGAAGAAGGACUUCGGGUUGUAAAGCACUUUUGUCCGGAAAGAAAUCCUUGACCCUAAUACAGUCGGGGGAUGACGGUACCGGAAGAAUAAGCACCGGCUAACUACGUG
This 486-nucleotide ribosomal RNA is filed under the name uncultured bacterium. RNAcentral's name for it is "partial 16S ribosomal RNA". It matches the Rfam family "Bacterial small subunit ribosomal RNA", at positions 30 to 507 of the family's 1533-position model. The record is from RNAcentral.